AUUGAACGCUGGCGGCAUGCUUUACACAUGCAAGUCGAACGGCAGCGCGGGCUUCGGCCUGGCGGCGAGUGGCGAACGGGUGAGUAAUACAUCGGAACGUGCCCAGUAGUGGGGGAUAGCUCGGCGAAAGCCGGAUUAAUACCGCAUACGACCUGAGGGUGAAAGCGGGGGAUCUUCGGACCUCGCGCUAUUGGAGCGGCCGAUGGCAGAUUAGCUAGUUGGUGGGGUAGAGGCCUACCAAGGCGACGAUCUGUAGCUGGUCUGAGAGGACGACCAGCCACACUGGGACUGAGACACGGCCCAGACUCCUACGGGAGGCAGCAGUGGGGAAUUUUGGACAAUGGGCGAAAGCCUGAUCCAGCAAUGCCGCGUGUGUGAUGAAGGCCUUCGGGUUGUAAAGCACUUUUGGCGGGAACGAAAAGGACUGUGCCAAUACCACGGUUCGAUGACGGUACCCGCAGAAUAAGCACCGGCUAACUACGUG
This 484-nucleotide ribosomal RNA is filed under the name uncultured bacterium. Its description in RNAcentral is "partial 16S ribosomal RNA". It matches the Rfam family "Bacterial small subunit ribosomal RNA", at positions 29 to 507 of the family's 1533-position model. The record is from RNAcentral.